This 1062-nucleotide ribosomal RNA is filed under the name Pleomassaria siparia. Its description in RNAcentral is "SSU rRNA". It matches the Rfam family "Eukaryotic small subunit ribosomal RNA", at positions 50 to 1123 of the family's 1831-position model. Lineage: Eukaryota; Fungi; Ascomycota; Dothideomycetes; Pleosporales; Pleomassariaceae. The record is from RNAcentral.
CAUGCAUGUCUAAGUAUAAGCAAUUAUACCGUGAAACUGCGAAUGGCUCAUUAAAUCAGUUAUCGUUUAUUUGAUAGUACCUUACCACUUGGAUAACCGUGGUAAUUCUAGAGCUAAUACAUGCUAAAAACCCCGACUUCGGAAGGGGUGUGUUUAUUAGAUAAAAAACCAAUGCCCUUCGGGGCUCUUUGGUGAUUCAUGAUAACCUAACGGAUCGCAUGGCCUUGCGCCGGCGACGGUUCAUUCAAAUUUCUGCCCUAUCAACUUUCGAUGGUAAGGUAUUGGCUUACCAUGGUUUCAACGGGUAACGGGGAAUUAGGGUUCGAUUCCGGAGAGGGAGCCUGAGAAACGGCUACCACAUCCAAGGAAGGCAGCAGGCGCGCAAAUUACCCAAUCCCGACACGGGGAGGUAGUGACAAUAAAUACUGAUACAUGGCUCUUUAGAGUCUUGUAAUCGGAAUGAGUACAAUUUAAACCCCUUAACGAGGAACAAUUGGAGGGCAAGUCUGGUGCCAGCAGCCGCGGUAAUUCCAGCUCCAAUAGCGUAUAUUAAAGUUGUUGCAGUUAAAAAGCUCGUAGUUGAACCUUGGGUCUGGCUAGCGGGUCCGCCUCACCGCGUGUACUUGUCCGGCUGGACCUUUCCUCUGGAGACCUCAUGCCCUUCACUGGGUGUGUUGGGGAACCAGGACUUUUACUUUGAAAAAAUUAGAGUGUUCAAAGCAGGCCUUUGCUCGAAUACGUUAGCAUGGAAUAAUAGAAUAGGACGUGCGGUCCUAUUUUGUUGGUUUCUAGGAUCGCCGUAAUGAUUAAUAGGGAUAGUCGGGGGCAUCAGUAUUCACUUGUCAGAGGUGAAAUUCUUGGAUUUAUUGAAGACUAACUACUGCGAAAGCAUUUGCCAAGGAUGUUUUCAUUAAUCAGUGAACGAAAGUUAGGGGAUCGAAGACGAUCAGAUACCGUCGUAGUCUUAACCGUAAACUAUGCCGACUAGGGAUCGGGCGAUGUUUCUAUCUUGACUCGCUCGGCACCUUACGAGAAAUCAAAGUUUUUGGGUUCUGGGGGGAG